Sinocyclocheilus rhinocerous is the source of this 1896-nucleotide long non-coding RNA. RefSeq lists it as uncharacterized. The record is from RefSeq and is a predicted model, not a curated record. Lineage: Eukaryota; Metazoa; Chordata; Actinopteri; Cypriniformes; Cyprinidae. The transcript is spliced from 2 exons.
GAUAUAUAUAUAUAUAUAUAUAAAAUGUAUACAAAUGUAGAUAUGCCAUUGCUUAUUAAAAUACUGAAAGAUCACAACUAGAUACUUUUACAGGGUGCUGGAGAAGAAAUAUAUAUUUUUGGCAAUUUUAGCUUUUUAUACUUAACUUGCAGUUACAAAAUAUGAAACAUAAUACAAAAAAACUAUAAAAACAUUUGUAGAAUAGUACAGCGAAAGGUGGUAAAGAAAUAUUGCGUGACUUUGGAUACUAUUGGCCAGGGGGGGGAAAAAACAGACCAAAAUAGUCAAACCUUUUGGAGGAACUGCAUGACGUGAGAAGAGAAGAGUACAGUUAGAGAGAUAAGUGCCUUAGUUACUGAUGGUCGUUUCUUUUUCCGAGUGUUACUUUGUUCAAUAAUAUCCAGCACCAACUAGGAUAGCGCAGAGCGAGGGAGGGUUUGUGAAGAGGAAGCACCCCAAGAGUUAAACCACGAGGCUGUUGCAGUGUUGUGCCACUGAAUCUAUUCUAUGCAAAGGAAUAGCAGUCAUUUGACCAGCUAACAAUGUGCCAUGAUUCGUCUUCCCAAAAUUGAGUUGAAGUCUUGUUGUUUUUCCUUUAAUCCCCAUUUGAACAAAGUGUUUAUUUUCUCUUUAUUAUUCUUAUAUUAUGAGGACAAAAUCAGCAAUGCUGUCUAUGUAUUUGGUUACUGUGAUUUUUGUCAAGAACUGCCAGUCAUGAUGUGGAAGUCUGCCAGGUGUUUUAGAAGGGAGAUUUCAAAUGAAUUGGACUUCACCUGAAACCUCCUCUUGUUUCAAGAUUUGCAAACUGGAAGCUUUCAAUCAUAUUUGCCAAAACAUACUCUUAUUUUAUGCCAAGGAAGUGUUUUUGCUUUUUGUUUUAAAAGACUGGAAGAAAGAAAGGAAGAGGGAAAACGUAUUCCGCUUACUUUGGGAAAGCCUUUUUGGUGUUUCACAAAGGAUAGAUGUAGCUUUACUGUGCACUGAUCUGAAAGAAGCAAGUAAUGGGUGGAUAGGGAAAAUAUAGCAUUUACUCAAAGUAUUACUGAGAGGAAGGUCACUGGGAUAUUCAUGUGCUGCCACAUCAGUGCCAAACCCGAACAGUCACAGAAGAGCCAGAGUAUCAAAUCACACGCUAAAGAUCCGAUUCGCCCUGAGCAGUUUUCAGUCGUUGAAACAAUCGGAGGUGUUCAUCACAUUGAAUAAGAUUACAUUCAACUUUGUGUCCUGUAACCCUGGCAGUCUCUAAUGUAGUCUUGUUCACUUUUGUUACAAAAAAAGGUCAAUGUCUUUUUUUUCCUCUUCUCAGUGUUAAAUACAUGUUUUUUUAAACAUAUUGAAAUAAUGAAAUGCAAUAUUAGAUAGGAGCAAAGACCGACUACAGAGAAAUGGACAGUAUUAAACGAAUCCCCUCUGCCAUGUUACUACGUGCUGUUAAUGUUUUGAAGUUGGGUUUAGUCUAUCAGGUGUAUGGAGAAAUCUGUUCUCUUCCGCCUGCCUACUACAUGUGUAAUAAUGUCAAUUACAGCCAUUGUUACAGGUUUCUAAUGUAUUUUUCUAACUUCAUUUUCUAUGUACAAGUCUUUUUUUUUCUGAUGAAACCCACUACACCUUUAUUUUUUUCAUGUCCUCUCUCCUCCUCCGCCCUCCCUCUCAACCCACUCUUUACUCAGAUCUGUCUCUCAUUGGGAGCGUUGCCUUUUCCUACAGUUAUUUUGUUUUCUUGCUGAUUCUUUAGCUUGUUUAACUCAUUAGCAACUUAUUAGUUCUUGUCAUAGGUAUUUUUACAUGCUUGCAUUUAGUUUUUAUGGUGUAUGCUGUUAUUUUGUUUCUUAUUAACCUCCUUGGCAUUUAUUUUAAUAAACAUUCUUAGUAAGAAUUUUACUAACUUUGCUGAUA